Molecule: long non-coding RNA, 8470 nt
Organism: Pseudopipra pipra
Lineage: Eukaryota; Metazoa; Chordata; Aves; Passeriformes; Pipridae
Exons: 5
Source: RefSeq, a predicted model, not a curated record
UGAGACCAGGGGCAAGUGCAUUCUGUGGCCUUGGCAGGAACCUCUGUAAAAGCAUGAAUGUGGUUCUUAGCCCAGUAUUUAUUUAAUGUCCUGGGUCCCUUUCCUAUCCUUCAUCAGCUUCCCACCCCCCUGGACCAAAUGCUGGUCACUGCAAGUGGCUUCCCCCAGCCUCUGCAGCCGGAGCACACAUUUGGCAGUGAACCAGCUUUAUUCCUGGAGUGUGGCACACUUACCUCUGCUGUGGCAACCUGUAACCUGCCUCCAUCCUCCUGAAACCCUCUUGCCUGCACAGACCAGUGAGACUUUCCUGCUGGCCAGGGAGAUGCUGUAUCCAGCUCCAGCUCCUCCCCUGAUAUUUCUGCUUUCCCCAAGGCAUGAAUCCCCCCAGGGCUUUUGGUGAGCUGUGGCUUUCGGAAUGUGGAGAGCUGCAACCUGUGUUAGCCACUCCUCCCCUUAGGAUCCCUUUGCCUUUUCCUGCUUUUUAUCUGGUGAGAAGUUUUAUGUGACUUAACUAUUCAAUUAAGGUUGUUUUUUAACUUCUUGCUCGUGCUCAGGCUGCGUGGAAAUUGUUCUUGAGAACAUUUGCAUCAGUUCAUCUGAAGUCAAUUCCUUGGCAAACUAAGCAAGGUAGCUAUAAUCCAUCCACAUCUAUCUGCACCAGUUUGACUAAUAACACCACUGAAAUCCCUGAUGUUAGUUAAAACAAGCCCCCCUGUGUAAAUGAAAGGGGUUUUGCAAGGGAUUUAACCCUUUGCCUUCCCUUCUCAGUUGUGCAGAUGGAGCAGUGAAUUCCCAGCUGGCAGCCUGGGAACUUUCCCUCAUCACAGGGAGAUCAGGUACGUGGAGAGUGCUCAGAGCUGGGGUUGGGGCCAGAUGGGUUGUGAGGCCCCUUCCAAGGUUAUCAGCUCUGAUGAGGUGUCCAAAUGCAAAACACGUGUGUGCAGAGAGACAGCAGUGAAAUAGUUCUUGACUCAACACAGCAUCUUUAAAAUCAUUUUCAGGACUGUUGUGCUGGAGAGGCUUUAAGGCCUCUUUUCCUCUGAGUCACAACACUGAUUUUCCUUUUUCCUGAGUCUUUUCUUUCCUUGAGUUUUCAUCCUUGAUGAAUACAAAGCUGCUUUGUGGCCUUGCAGAAUGCAUUGGCUGCAUUCCUGCAGCUGGUGGUGUUCAAAGGGGUCCUGUUGCAUCUAAAAAACAGAUGGGCUGGUGGUGGACCUGUACAAAGUGUGGGAGAGGGUGUUUCCAGGAGCUUUUGUGUGGGGCCAUGUUUAAUUUUGUGGUCUUUGCUCUCACGCAGGGAUGAAGUCCAUCAGCUGGUAUAGCCUGUGAUGGGACACUGUCUCAGAGUGAUGGCAUGCCCUUGGAAACCUCUCAUCGCCCUCUAAUGUGGCAGCCAGGUCUGGGAUGUGCAAGCAGACCUCAUUCCCAGGCUGGGGGCCCCUGGCCAUCCGAAAAAACUGUGGGCAGCCAACCACCAGCAGUCAGAACAGAUCCCGUCGUUCCUGAGUGCAUCCUCUCCUGCUGGCAGAGCAGCCAUUGACAGAUCCAUGAUUAUCUCAGCCAUGGAAGUUGCUCAGGGGAAGCUUAUUCUCAAAUUGCAUUUUGGAAGCCAAACAAGCAAACCCCAGGUUAUGCAGCUUCUCAGUGGCCACGUGUGGCUUUGCUGCUAUCCCCAGCCUGGAGGAACCUUACUGCCUCUGGCAGAGAGUUUUGAGCCCAAGGGCUACAUUUCAGCCUGUUAUUGAACCCCAGUGGCAUGGAAGUGAACACAAAAAAUGGAACAAACACCAUGAAACCCACUUAAUUUCAAAUAAUUUCUUGGCUAUUUCCACCACCAUCACAGUUCUAGCGCUAGUACAUAAUCUUCAAGUAGCAGCACAUUUUGGCAAUUUCUCUUGGUCAUGAGCAGCCAGAAUCAAGCUUUUUUUUCCCCUGAAUCUUUUUAAGAAGUUUCCCUGUUCUGCUGAAUUCUAGGAGUAAGAAGGCAGAAAGUCAAGAUGCUAAAAAAGACUAUGAAUCUUGCUUGUGCUGUAGUUGAGAAAUGAAAGUUUCUUCCCUUUUGUAAAUGAUUUCCAAUAGUUUCAACAUUCUCUUCCUUUUUUUUCUUUUUGUCAUAGCAAAAAAAAUGAGGAAAAAAGGGGGAGAAGUAAUGGAAAGGACAAAUGUUUCAUUUUUCCAGUUAAUCCCUUAAGAACUUUAAAGAGUAAAGAAGUGGCUCAUGCUGAUUUCUGGAAAAAGGCAGAGAAACUCUUAAUUUCUGCCUGUCUGUCGUUUUUUUCCCCCCCUCUUGAAAUAAUUCAUCCUGCCUUAAAUUUAAACGUUUGAUUUGGAAACUGGGGCAGAAGGUGAGUGUUUGUGGGUGUGUUGGCAGGGGCAUCCUGAGCAGAGAAAAGCUUUUGGAAGGGCAGGAUGCAGCCCCAGCACUGCAGGGUGAGCUAUACUGGGACUCUCCUUGGGCAAAACCAUGGUGGGUGCUGCUGGGGUGGACGAGGAGGUGAAGAUGCCAGCCCAGAAAAUCUUUAAAUACUUCCAACACAGGAGCUCAGCUCCCACUCCUGUUAAUUUGGGAGCUUCUCCCAGCUGCUCUCCCUGGCUCUGAGGAAUGUCCUGCUCCUAGGGUCAGCGCCUGGGCAUCCAGCACCCCUCAGGACAGCUCUUGCUCUCUGUGCCUGGAUGUUGUGCUGGGCACCAAAGGACCAAAGAGACUGGAGGAAAAUUCCCAGCUGCAGUGAGUGAUGCAUGCCCUCCUUUCCCAUCAGAACCCCUCUGGAAGAUGUUCAGCACUAAUGCUUUGUUUCUCUCAUUUACAUGAAGGUUCCUGCAUCCACAUGCAUCCCUACUCUGGAUCACAUGGGUCUCUGCUGCAGGAGCUUGUCCUCGGGGUAGACCAAGGCUUUGCUGAGCCAGUGGACUCGUGGUUAUGUGCAGCAUGAGGGUGCUCCCGAGCCAGGUUCAAUGCUGGCAUAAAAAAAGGAGUAGAAGCUCACCAAAAACGUCCUAAGGUGGAAAUAGGGAAGGGCUAUAAGGAGGUGACGGACCCUUCGGCUCAGCUGACAGGUGGAAGCAGAGGUGUCUGGAUGAGAUGCUCCUCUGCAAGGACCAAACCAGGAGGCCAUGGCCACCCCCAGCCAAUCUCCUUGCUGCUGAUACACACACCAAAAUUUGGCCUGGCAAAGGCCUUUUCCCAGGUGACCUCCAUGCUGUUUGGUACCAAUGGAGUGAUUGCUCUGGGUCAUGUAUCCCUCAGAGUCCAAAAAGGGAGAAGAUCCCUGGUGCUCAUCUGGGGAUGCUGCACACUGUCACCCUUCCAGCUGGACCUCUGCACACCAGGAACAAGAUGGACCAGGUGCUCUGGGAUGUGUCCUCAAAAUGAGUGUCUCCUCCAAAGUCCCAGGCCACUUUGUUGACACAGAAAAGCUGAUUCCCUCUAGCAUUUAGUUCCUCCUGAGAAGUGCAUCCUUACAUCCCACUGAUUGCAUCAACUUUUUGGGCCUCUAUGUCUACAGACAAAACCAACAAAGGAAUCAAUGUCCUUGGAUUGUCUUCACUGCUGGAAAGAACUGCACAAGGAUUUCACUCUCCCUCUCAGGGUGGAUGUGCAGGCAGAGCAGUGUGCUACACAGAACAUAGCCUCCACUAAAAAGUCAGUAUUUGCCAGCGAAUAACAUACGGUUUUGUUUUGGUUUAAUUGCCUCAGAGUCAGUCUCCUAAUCUGCAUUUUAGAUCAGAGACCCCAAAAUCCUCAGCAUAGGAAAAAGUGCUACAGAGAAAGAGUGAAACAAAGACAGGUCCUGGAGCACUGGUUGUGCUGCCUGGCGUGUUGCAGCAGUGUUGCCUUGGAGCUACUUCUUCUACCCUCUGAAGACUUGUGUGAAAAUGACCAAGAAACAAAGGGCCCAGCCUGCUUCUGGAAGGGUAAAAAGCUGUUGAUGGAGCAUUGCUUGAUUGAAGAGGCUGAGGAUGGUGCCUGACUUCCUGCAUCCACAUCCUGGGAAAGCAGCUGGAAAUUGAUCCUGCUUCAGUCAUCCACUGAUGAGCUAAUUUUUAACACCAAGCAUGGGCAUCUCACCGCUGGAAUAGCAGUGCUCCAGUUCCUCGGGGAGCCUGUGAGCAGCAAGUCAGCCAGCAGCAUGGAUCGUUCUUCUGCACCCAUUGUUAUGGAAAUUGCCUUAGAGACAGUUGCUCCAGCAAACAUUUUUAGAAGCUCGAGUGAGAUGUGCAACAGGAAAACUAAGCUGGAGGUUUGCUCAUGCUCAUCACCACUGCCUGUCAUGGAGCUGGACCAGAUCUCCAGCCCGUGCCCAGGAGCUUUGAGCGGCCUCAGCUGAUGGAAGGGAAAAGCACGGAUCCAGUGACCUUUGCUUGCAUAACUGCUGCCCACAGUCCCUGCCUGACAUUUGAGGAGUGGCCGUGAGUGCUGGAGGGGGUGCACGGUGAUGGGGUGCUGGGCAAGGCAGGUGAACCUCAUCCUUGCUGGCAGAGUGCCAGGCUGAGCCCUGACCCUUCCUUUCUCUUUCUGGAAGUCACAGUGGACUCUCACGGUGGUGUCUCACCAGGAACCAAGGACAAGAAACGUCCCCCCAGCUCUUUGCUGGCAAGGCAGAGGGAUUGACCACAGUUUGUCUAUUCCCAGGGCUGUUUUGCUGCCCACAGCAAGGGAGCCAGAGCAGAGUGGAGUGUGUUUGGCUCUGUGGAAUGUUGUGUCACUCACUGCAGGUGCCAUGGGACUGAGCAAGAGGGAGCUCACAGGCUGGAGCUGGGAGGGGACCCUGUCAUCCCAGUGGAGAUGCUGGCAGUCAUGAGGUGGUGGCAAGAUGCCACCAAACAGCCCAGGCCACACUGGCCUGCCAGGUCCCCAGUUUCAGCCUGGCUUCUCCUCAGCAUCCCCCUGGCAGUGCCUGGGGUGGGGAAGGACGACUCCAUCCCAUCCCAGGCCUGCCUCCUCUGGCUUUUCCAAGCUGGCUGGUAUUGAUGCCUCCAGGCACUUCCUGCAGGACCACAGUGCCAGGUGCUGCAGAUGCUGUUGAAGCUGCUGAGCAUCCUGACCUUCACUCUGGUGAGUUGUCCAGCUUUGCAGCCAGUACAGCUGAAGGGGUAUCUUUCUCCCUGAACCUUGGAGACUCUUUAUGCCAGGGAUCCUCGGUGUUGCCAACCCCCAAAGCUCAACAGCCAGAAGCGCGAGCUCAGAAUAAGCCCCCAAGUUUCCUUUAAUAAAGGAAAUUUCAGGGGAGGAUGAGGAAGGGUAAUUCUUUGUAUUUUGCAUUCUGAGCCAUUUGUGCUUAUUUUACCUCCCGUGGUACUUUAUCUGUUACACUUGUGCUGGCUGGAAGCUCCCUUUUAUUUUGUUUUGUUUGCAUUUAAUGUGAAAACUGAGCUUUUUGGGGCAAGAAGCUGAAGCUUGGCCACAGGAACUGAGCCCUGGGCUGUGCCUGACUAUGAAAGUCAGAUGCCUUUGCUGGACAUCUGGCUGCUUUAGCUACAGAUAUCGGGGAAGAGCACUUUAAUAUUUAUCCUGAGCUAAAAAAACAAGUAGAAUGGAGAAAAAUAUACAAAGUAGGCCAUGAAAACAGGGUUUGUGAACAUCUGAGAUCCGCUCCUAAUUAAUAGCAGUUCCCAUCCCAGAAAUCAUACCAUUCAGCAAAAGUUAAUCAUCUUUGCUCAUACAUACAAUACACUUCAAGAGAGAAUGAGUCACCCUCAUUGAAAUGUCUAAUGUUAUGAAAUCCAGUGUGACUGAUGUAACAGACCCGGCUGAGCUCUCCAAAUUGGCCGGCAGCACCACGGCAGAGCGGGCUGUGUGUGAGCUGACUUCAUUGAGUUCUGCUUGUUUGCACCCAGGAUGGAUUUUCCCUUUACUUACUAGAACAGACUCAUGGCAAAGGACCCAAGAAGGAUGUGGGAGGGCAGGUGAGUGGGGCAGGAGGGGCUGGCAUUGCCAAGCCCCUGCAGUCCUCACUUCCCACCAUGGAGCUGCCUGUCCCCACUCUUGGGAGCCCACGAAGCACAGAGGCCCCGAUCCUGCAAAUAUCUGGGCACCCACGUAAUUCACAGCUCAUUGGGGUGCCUGGGACCAGCACUUUAAUAACAUCACUCUGCAUGCUUAACCAUUCACAGGCCUGGGGAUUUAUUCUUCCCUGCUUGGUUCAGAGAGGAAUGUAGGUUGAAUUCAGCAUUAAGAUUCUGCAUUGAUAUCAGCCGUUCCCUCUUAAAUUAAAUAUUAUUACCUGCAAACAUUUCCUUUUAGCACUGGGAGCCGUUUGCUUGGUGUACUUUGUUUAAAUGUCACCAUAUGAAUUACUGAAAGUAAUUUAAAUAUUUAAAGACAUAUACUGCAAGUCUAAUUUUAUUUCGAAAUCCCGAGCCAGGCUUGCAGCUGAUGCAGCAGAUAACAGCUCAGCCUGGCACCCCUGGUUCCUAGCCCAGUUCUUUAAAUUAAUAAUUUGCAUUUUCCAACACCUUUCACCCGACAAGUCUGGACUCUGAGAUUCUUUUUCUCCAGCCAGAUUUUCUUCUCUCUUUGAGGCCCUACAGCCCCUCUAGGAUGGGUGUGAGUCCCUUGGCAGAUUCUCUCCCAUCCACCCGUCCACCUUGGCCUCCUUUCAGGGGCAUCUGCUCCAUAGGGCAAACUCUGGGAGAGAUAACAUCAGAAAUGCCAGGACCCAGCAGAAGAGACAGAAUUGCUCUUGUAUUUCAUGUUUUCCAACUAGAGAAGAUCUCUCUCCCGACACAACCUUUUCAUCUCUUGUUAUCUUUAUGAACAGCUUAAAAAAAUGUACCAUUUCUGGCAUGCUGGCCCCACUGCUGAAGAGCUGUUCCUCUUCCACCUCCUUCACCUGCUGGGAUGAAAAGCUACAGGUAAUGCUGGGGAGUAAAUGAAAGGCUUUCCAUGAGGAAAUAAGCUAAAACAGUAAACAAAAUUCUGAUUCUGAAAAGCAAAACAGCUGAAGUUGUCACCAGGAAAACAUGGUGAUGAAACACUCUGGUCCUCGGAAAUUACCCUACAUGCUGUUGGAAAAUACCAUCUGACUCAACCGGCUCAGUGUGUCUGGUGCCACUGUGCUAAUAGCUUUUACCUGACCUGGAUAGCCCAGGUUUUCAAGGAAAUGAUCUUCUCCAUGAGAAGUGUCACCACCAGACCCAAGCCUUCCUGAGAAAAGCCUGGGUUAGGUGGAUGCUGGGAUUUCUCCCACUCCUGGGAGCAGCCUACCCUGAGGAGCUGUGUUCCCACCACUGGGCAGCUGAUCUGUGGGGCUGGGGCUGGCUCGGCUCUGAUCUCCCACCUCUGCUGCCACCACAGGUGGGUCUCCUAAUGCAAGGUCCAAGUUGCCUUUUAAUCAUGCUGCAGGCAUCUCCCUGGAACAUUCCUCUUGCCUGCUGCCCCGCCUGCCCUUCUCCCUCCAGAGAGGAGUCUGGCUUCUUACGCAAAGCCGGUGACUCAUUCCCCAGGAUGUCUUUGCUUAAAAGUUGCCUGGUCACCUCUUUCUCUGGUUGCUGCUUCCUUGCUUGUCAAAUCCUGAGUGAAUGAACAGUGACACGCAGGCACAAUGCACACAGGGGCUGAGAUGGCACAAGCUACUGCAGGAUCCCCCUUUCCUUGUGCCCUGUGUGUACCCAGGACAGUGUCCCCCCUCUGUUGUGGGCAGUGGUCAGAAGGAAAGCAACAUAUAUCUCUGAGCCCAUCCUUUUCUCCAGGCUCCACCACUUGAGCUAUUAAAUGCCCUGAGCUCUCCCUGCUCCCUUGGCUUUGUGCAUUUUUUUUUAGAGUUGUGCUGCCAUGAAGAGGGACUCUGAUGGGCAAAGAGGAGCUUCGUGAAGUGCAACAAGGGGAAGUAUGAACUCCUGCCACUGGGGAGGAAUAACCCCACUCAUCAGUACACACUGGGGGCCAACCAGCUGGAAAAGAACUUUGCAGGUAAAGACCUGAGGGGUCCUGGUGGACAACAAGCUGACUGUGAGCCAGAGGUACAUUCUCAAAGCCAGCAACAUCAUGGCCUGGAUUAGGAAGAGUGUUGCCAGCAGGGCAAGGGAGAAGAAAGAAGGUUUUGAUUCAUCCUUUGUGACCAAGAACUGCUGCCACUGGUGGAAACAGGACUGGCACCUGUGAGUGUUUCAGAUAUUUCUUGCCAACUCUUAGGUCCAGCAAAGUGUUGCAUGAAGGAACUUUAACCCCAUUUCAAGGAUUGGGAAGCAGGACACAGACAGAGGAAAGGGAUCUGCCCAGUGUCACAUCAUUAAGCCAGUGGUGGGUUGGGAAGGCACCAGACCCUUGUGUGAGACCUGUUUCAGUUCCCUCUGUACUGGGUCAUGUUCUAUCAGGUCAUAUAUGUGUAUCCAGGAGUUGUGAGUGUAUCCAAGAGUGUCAAACUGUCUGGACCAGUGAUCAGCAGGGAUUGCUGAAUGAGUUCACAGAAAAUUGUAACGUUGUUAAAUACAUUAAACAAACAAACAAAAAAAAGGCAAAUCAAAAAGA